This 465-nucleotide ribosomal RNA is filed under the name Vreelandella stevensii. RNAcentral describes it as "partial 16S ribosomal RNA". It matches the Rfam family "Bacterial small subunit ribosomal RNA", at positions 338 to 795 of the family's 1533-position model. Lineage: Bacteria; Pseudomonadati; Pseudomonadota; Gammaproteobacteria; Oceanospirillales; Halomonadaceae. The record is from RNAcentral.
CCUACGGGGGGCUGCAGUGGGGAAUAUUGGACAAUGGGGGGAACCCUGAUCCAGCCAUGCCGCGUGUGUGAAGAAGGCCCUCGGGUUGUAAAGCACUUUCAGUGAGGAAGAACGCCUGGUGGUUAAUACCCAUCAGGAAAGACAUCACUCACAGAAGAAGCACCGGCUAACUCCGUGCCAGCAGCCGCGGUAAUACGGAGGGUGCGAGCGUUAAUCGGAAUUACUGGGCGUAAAGCGCGCGUAGGUGGCUUGAUAAGCCGGUUGUGAAAGCCCCGGGCUCAACCUGGGAACGGCAUCCGGAACUGUCAAGCUAGAGUGCAGGAGAGGAAGGUAGAAUUCCCGGUGUAGCGGUGAAAUGCGUAGAGAACGGGAGGAAUACCAGUGGCGAAGGCGGCCUUCUGGACUGACACUGACACUGAGGUGCGAAAGCGUGGGUAGCAAACAGGAUUAGAUACCCCUGUAGUC